AUGUACAAAAUAUUUAUCACAAAUAUUUGUUUCCUCCUUAUAAAUAUUUUAUAAAUAUUUUGUGCUAUCUGGGAACGUAGCGCUAUUAAUAUUCACGAUGAAUUAAUUACUGGCUAAUUUAAUAUUCGGUGUGUCGCGAUCGACGGACGUGUGUGUUUUUUUGCCGGGAACGUUGGGGAUCCGACGCACGGUCAUCGCGGUGGAUUAUUUUCGUCACGUUGACGGACGAUGACGCGCGGCGCCGUCUUGUUAUUCGCGAUUAAUACUCUCGGUUUGUAUCAAUACGCGCGAGAUAAGGUCGCGAAGGGGCGUGCGUGGCUAUCGGUUCGUAGUUUUACUUAUUCAAGCGGCGCGAAGUUCAUAGUACAUAGUACCCGUGACCUCGACGACCCUUCCCAAUGACGAUUCUGAUUGCGCUAGUGAGAGAUCUACUUCUCCCCACUUCCGUUAGAGCGCACUUGUUUUUCCUGCAUUCGAUAUGUGCACCCGCAAAAAUCCUGAAAAGAUAAAAAAAUACACAAACGUAUGCGAAAUCCGUGUGUGGGUGUGUUUGAUUGAUAUAUAUGGUCGGUUAAAAUAAUACACAGAGUUUUCUAAAAGUUUUUUUUAAAAAAAGUUAUUUUGUUUGAAAAGAUUUAUGUAAUGAGUUUAACAAAUUUAAAUUUUUUUAGGUUUUUAAUCGUGAUUUUCUUUUAUUGAUUAGUAAAUAUUAUAUUUUGUAUAUCUAUUUAAAUCUUAUCAUCAGACCUAUCGUCAAUUAUAACUCUUAAAUUAUUGUUAUAAAAAUAAACUGUAAUAGUUUUUUUAGUAAACUAUAGUAUUUAUUUUUUAUUUGAGUUAUGGCAUUUUUGUUUCUUUGUGCCGUUUAAUCAAUAUAAAUUGAUUUCACAGAUUUAAUUCAGUAACCGUGUUAACGACUUUGAUGUCAGUUAUGGAAGAUUAAUAUAACUUUAUAAGAUACAUUAUUUAAAAAUUACACUUUAUUAAAUUGUUAAAUUUAUACAUCAUUAAAUAUCUUAUAAAACUGUAAAAAAAAUAUAAAUGUAUAUGCAUUAUUUAUUUAAACGAAUGAAACUGUUAUUGGAAAAAUUUGAAGAAACUUUUAUUUAAAUAUAGCAAUACAAUAUAACAUAAUAUAGGCAAGAAUCAAAACAUGCGCAUGCGCAAGGAAGUAUUGUCCGUUUGCUUUUCUCGUUUCAAAAUAGUGAUCUUCGGAAAGCCGACUCAGUGCCAUCGCGAAACUCUUCGCUCUUUUCGCGGCUCUGUGAAAACCGAUCGGUGUGACCUUCUGGCAAUUUUGGACUUGUGGGGAAGGAGCAUUCGUAUUCGCGCUCCGUCGGAUCAUCGACGUCGUCGUCGGCGCGGCUCCGUCCCCAGGUGGCGUGCCGCUUGUCGGAUCGAACUUCGUCCCGUCAGUCAGCGUCGGCGUCGACGUCGGCU
This is an RNA transcript of Monomorium pharaonis (pharaoh ant), 1440 nucleotides long. RefSeq lists it as uncharacterized. NCBI's taxonomy places the organism in Eukaryota, Metazoa, Arthropoda, Insecta, Hymenoptera, Formicidae. The transcript has 2 exons. The record is from RefSeq and is a predicted model, not a curated record.